This 85-nucleotide transfer RNA is filed under the name Photobacterium atrarenae. RNAcentral describes it as "tRNA-Leu". It matches the Rfam family "tRNA". From Rfam's summary of the family: Transfer RNA (tRNA) molecules are approximately 80 nucleotides in length. RNAcentral also lists the same sequence under 1 other name. The record is from RNAcentral. Lineage: Bacteria; Pseudomonadati; Pseudomonadota; Gammaproteobacteria; Vibrionales; Vibrionaceae.
GCCCGAGUGGUGAAAUUGGUAGACACGACGGAUUCAAAAUCCGUUUCCUUCGGGAGUGGCGGUUCAAGUCCGCCCUCGGGCACCA